UACGUAGGGUGCAAGCGUUGUCCGGAAUUAUUGGGCGUAAAGAGCUCGUAGGCGGUUGGUCGCGUCGGCUGUGAAAACCCGGAGCUCAACUCCGGGCCUGCAGUCGAUACGGGCCGACUUGAGUGUUGCAGGGGAGACUGGAAUUCCUGGUGUAGCGGUGAAAUGCGCAGAUAUCAGGAGGAACACCGGUGGCGAAGGCGGCUCACUGGAUCGGUACUGACGCUGAGGUGCGAAAGCGUGGGGAGCAAACAGG
This 253-nucleotide ribosomal RNA is filed under the name uncultured bacterium. RNAcentral describes it as "partial 16S ribosomal RNA". It matches the Rfam family "Bacterial small subunit ribosomal RNA", at positions 524 to 776 of the family's 1533-position model. The record is from RNAcentral.